Long non-coding RNA from Ictalurus punctatus (channel catfish), 1907 nucleotides. The record is from Ensembl. Lineage: Eukaryota; Metazoa; Chordata; Actinopteri; Siluriformes; Ictaluridae.
CUUUCUUUGUCUACUGGCCUGUUUAUCUUGCAAGAUCUGCUCCUCUGACCACAUACUGAUGAGAUCCACAUCCACUGGACAAACAGAACUUUCUGGAAUUUCCAUUGGAUUUAAUUGGGAUGUUAGUAGACUAUUGUUGAAUAUUGCUGCUGUGCAAUCUUCAGUAGUAGAGAGUGUUUUUUGGUCACAAAAUGAUAGUUGUCUGAUUUUAAAUGACGACUUGUCACGACUCUGUACUACUUCUAGCACCACAUAGGUCCCUGAUUGGUACUCUUAGGAUGUUUAUAGGAAAGUUGUUUAAUUGGCAGUGAAAAUAAUUAACAAAAAGUGUGAUCAUGGGUGACUGUAUUGUGACUAUUUGCACUGCUAAACAAAAUAUACUUCCUGCCCAUGUUAUUAAACACAUCCAUGUUGCUGGUCAAUUUGUAGGUGUACAGUUUGGACUUUUUCCCAUGCACAAUGUGUUAAUUAUACUGUUGCUCGGGUUCCAAUCGGCCCAUUUCCAUGCAGAGUUUCAAAUGUUCCCUGCUCUCAAACACACCUGAUCCAACUUAAGUGCUUGAUAAUUAGCUCAGGAGCUAAAAAUGGUGUGUUGCCAGCAGGUAAAACUAGGCAGUCAGCCCAGAUUAGGAUUUUUCCUUAAACUCGGUAGUACUGGGGUGUACCACAUAAACUCAAAAAGGUUACUGUACAUAGCUUGUCUUCCAUCUUCAUUCACAUGUUAGUCUAGCAAAAGUUGUACCUAGGAAUACGUACAAUUAUCUACUUGCAACUAAUUACAAAAAUCUUCCAAAAUUCCCCAGUCAGUGAUAAUCUGCUUUACUUUAGUGGUCACAUCACAUAUACACAUAUUGACAGACGCACAAGGCAUAGACAAGGAGGUUUUUUUUUUUAAUACACUUUACGUUUACAAAUUUUCCAAAAAGUACAAAUCGUUAGCUUAAAUACCAAGUGUUACUUCAUUACGUACAAGAAUAUCCAGCAAUUACCCAUGAUGCAUUGCAUCCAUACAAAUAAACAGCUUUUUACAAGUCUUACAAAAUGUUAACAUACAGCUUUGCUAUGGUAAUAGAUAUUAUUAUACAGUACAGUAUAUAUUCUGCCAAGAGUUACAACUAAUUUAGAAACAGGAAGGCAUUUAGACACAAUCUGAACACAAUUCUCAAACUGGCUGAUUUUAUAUUCAAAUUCAAACGAAUGGCCGUUUUUUUUUUUGUUUGUUUGUUUUUUUUUCAUCAUUGCAGCACUCAUCUUAACAAGGCCUCGUCAUAUCAUCAAGCCCUUCUACUUCAUUUCAAAUCAGAGAACUUCUGCCAAUAAAAAUGUUCAAAUGCUACCAGAUUGUCUAGGUUUUGUUAAAGUUGUGCACUCGUUCUCUGCCGAUUUGUAUUGAGGUCGAUUCUUGUACAACACCAGUAUGGAUUCUGAGACAGUCCUGAGUUGCUAAAGAAUGUCCUAGUUAAUGUCUAGUCCUUUUGACAAACAGGAAACUCUUGGAAAUUGCAGCAAGUCUACAGGGAAAUGGUAGGGAAAAAGUCAGAAUAAACAUUCAAAGAAAACAAAAUGAAAAGUCCAAUUCUUAUGUCAGUUCAAUUUGUCUCAAGUGGCAUAUCAUCAUGGAAAAUGCGAAGCGAUAUUAAACAACCACGCUUUACCGUCCAGGUUUAUUGUCGCUUCCAUUCUAGAGCAGUGGUUCUCAAAAUGGGGUCACAGUAAUAUAGCAUAAUUUUAUUAAAGUUGUCGAAAUUGUAUUUAUUGAGUUCCUAUACUGAGUUUUCAGCCUAUUUGACUGGUCAAUUGAAUUCAUUGAAAUAAAUAAUGUCGACUUGUUCCUACGGUGAAAAGUUCAGGAAUCAAAUGCUCAAAUAAACAAUAAAUAGCUAUAAUAUUAUUGUAUCCAUUUAAAU